AUGGGGAUGUGCAUAGUCUGGUGUGCAGCCAUGUAUCUCUUGGGAGCAAGCCAAAUUGAUGCUAAAAUAACCCAGACACCGAGUCUGGUGCUGGAGAGAGGACAUACUGCCUAUCUCAGAUGUGAACAAACCUAUGGGCAUGACAGCAUGUUCUGGUACCGGCAGGAUCCAGGGCAGGGAUUGCAGCUGCUCUUUAACUUCUACUAUAAAAAAGAAAGAGAGAAGGGCACAAAUUCUAGUCACUUCCAGGCCGAUCAGCCGCAGGAUGAUCUCUUUCGCUUAAACAUCUCAUCUGUGCAGCCAGAGCACUCGGCUGUGUAUUUCUGCGCCAGCAGCUUAGACACAGCACUUUAG
Chelonoidis abingdonii (Abingdon island giant tortoise) is the source of this 354-nucleotide non-coding RNA. The record is from the annotation of a RefSeq genome assembly. NCBI's taxonomy places the organism in Eukaryota, Metazoa, Chordata, Testudines, Testudinidae.